This 447-nucleotide ribosomal RNA is filed under the name uncultured bacterium. Its description in RNAcentral is "bacterial SSU rRNA". It matches the Rfam family "Bacterial small subunit ribosomal RNA", at positions 330 to 792 of the family's 1533-position model. The record is from RNAcentral.
UCCAGACUCCUACGGGAGGCAGCAGUGGGGAAUAUUGGGCAAUGGGCGCAAGCCUGACCCAGCAACGCCGCGUGAAGGAAGAAGGCUUUCGGGUUGUAAACUUCUUUUGUCAGGGAAGAGUAGAAGACGGUACCUGACGAAUAAGCCACGGCUAACUACGUGCCAGCAGCCGCGGUAAUACGUAGGUGGCAAGCGUUGUCCGGAUUUACUGGGUGUAAAGGGCGUGUAGCCGGGUUGACAAGUCAGAUGUGAAAUCCUGCGGCUUAACCGCAGAACUGCAUUUGAAACUGUUGAUCUUGAGUACUGGAGAGGCAGACGGAAUUCCUGGUGUAGCGGUGAAAUGCGUAGAUAUCAGGAGGAACACCGGCGGCGAAGGCGGCCUGCUGGACCGUGACUGACGUUGAGGCUCGAGAGCGUGGGGAGCAAACAGGAUUAGAUACCCCAGUA